RNAcentral lists this ribosomal RNA (159 nucleotides) under uncultured Piloderma. RNAcentral's name for it is "5.8S ribosomal RNA". It matches the Rfam family "5.8S ribosomal RNA". From Rfam's summary of the family: 5.8S ribosomal RNA (5.8S rRNA) is a component of the large subunit of the eukaryotic ribosome. It is transcribed by RNA polymerase I as part of the 45S precursor that also contains 18S and 28S rRNA. Lineage: Eukaryota; Fungi; Basidiomycota; Agaricomycetes; Atheliales; Atheliaceae. The record is from RNAcentral.
CAACUUUCAACAACGGAUCUCUUGGCUCUCGCAUCGAUGAAGAACGCAGCGAAAUGCGAUAAGUAAUGUGAAUUGCAGAUUUUCGGUGAAUCAUCGAAUCUUUGAACGCACCUUGCGCUCCUUGGUAUUCCGAGGAGCAUGCCUGUUUGAGUGUCAUUA